RNAcentral lists this ribosomal RNA (443 nucleotides) under uncultured bacterium. RNAcentral describes it as "partial 16S ribosomal RNA". It matches the Rfam family "Bacterial small subunit ribosomal RNA", at positions 338 to 795 of the family's 1533-position model. The record is from RNAcentral.
CCUACGGGAGGCAGCAGUGGGGAAUAUUGGGCAAUGGGCGCAAGUCUUACCCAGCAAUACCGCGUUAGUGAAGAAGGUUUUCGGAUUGUAAAGCUCUUUUAUCAGGGACGAACAGAUGACGGUACCUGAAGAAUAAGCCCCGGCUAACUACGUGCCAGCAGCCGCGGUAAAACGUAGGGGGCGAGCGUUGUCCGGAAUUACUGGGCGUAAAGGGCGCGUAGGCGGGAUAGAAAGUUAGAAGUGAAAUACCCAGAGCUUAACUCGGGUGCUGCUUCUAAGACUGUUGAGCUUGAGCGCGGGAGAGGUUAAUGGAAUUCCUAGUGUAGCGGUGGAAUGCGUAGAUAUUAGGAGGAACACCAGAGGCGAAGGCGAAUAACUGGACCGUAACUGACGCUGAGGCACGAAAGUGUGGGUAGCAAACAGGAUUAGAUACCCGAGUAGUC